Molecule: unclassified non-coding RNA, 148 nt
Filed under: soil metagenome
Description: partial internal transcribed spacer 1
Source: RNAcentral
CCGAGUUUACAACUCCCAAACCCCUGUGAACAUACCUAUAUGUUGCCUCGGCGGAUCAGCCCGCGCCCCGUAAAACGGGACGGCCCGCCGCAGGAUCCACAAACUCUGUUUUUAUAGUAAUCUUCUGAGUGUUAAAAAAAAUGAAUCA